CGCACGGGUGCGUAACGCGUAUGCAAUCUACCUUUCACAGAGGGAUAGCCCAGAGAAAUUUGGAUUAAUACCUCAUAGUAUUACGAAAUGGCAUCAUUUUGUAAUUAAAGUCACAACGGUGAAAGAUGAGCAUGCGUCCCAUUAGCUAGUUGGUAAGGUAACGGCUUACCAAGGCUACGAUGGGUAGGGGUCCUGAGAGGGAGAUCCCCCACACUGGUACUGAGACACGGACCAGACUCCUACGGGAGGCAGCAGUGAGGAAUAUUGGACAAUGGGCGCAAGCCUGAUCCAGCCAUGCCGCGUGCAGGAUGACGGUCCUAUGGAUUGUAAACUGCUUUUGCACAGGAAGAAACAUCCCGACGUGUCGGGACUUGACGGUACUGUGAGAAUAAGGAUCGGCUAACUCCGUGCCAGCAGCCGCGGUAAUACGGAGGAUCCAAGCGUUAUCCGGAAUCAUUGGGUUUAAAGGGUCCGUAGGCGGUUUAGUAAGUCAGUGUGGCAAGCCCAUCGCUCAACGGUGGAACGGCCAUUGAUACUGCUAGACUUGAAUUAUUAGGAAGUAACUAGAAUAUGUAGUGUAGCGGUGAAAUGCUUAGAGAUUACAUGGAAUACCAAUUGCGAAGGCAGGUUACUACUAAUGGAUUGACGCUGAUGGACGAAAGCGUGGGUAGCGAACAGGAUUAGAUACCCUGGUAGUCCACGCCGUAAACGAUGGAUACUAGCUGUUGGGAGCAAUCUCAGUGGCUAAGCGAAAGUGAUAAGUAUCCCACCUGGGGAGUACGUUCGCAAGAAUGAAACUCAAAGGAAUUGACGGGGGCCCGCACAAGCGGUGGAGCAUGUGGU
RNAcentral lists this ribosomal RNA (843 nucleotides) under uncultured bacterium. RNAcentral's name for it is "bacterial SSU rRNA". It matches the Rfam family "Bacterial small subunit ribosomal RNA", at positions 99 to 945 of the family's 1533-position model. The record is from RNAcentral.